This 258-nucleotide unclassified non-coding RNA is filed under the name uncultured fungus. Its description in RNAcentral is "sequence contains ITS2". The record is from RNAcentral. Lineage: Eukaryota; Fungi.
UGAACGCACAUUGCGCCCUUUGGCAUUCCGAAGGGCAUGCCCGUUCGAGCGUCAUUAAAUCCACUCAAGCCUGGCUUGGUAUUGGGCGCCGGGGACCCCCCGCGCCUCCAUUUCGCCGGCUGGCCGUCGUUUGACUUAGCGUUGUGACACAUGUCGCUAACGACGAAGACGGACCGCGCCGUGAGAACUCUCUUGAACGUCACCCGACGUUCAGUAAAGGUUGACCUCGGAUCGGGUAGGAAUACCCGCUGAACUUAA